GCAGCAUCUGUGCUUCUGCGGAUACAACUUUAUAGACAGGCAGAUAGUAUAUGUGCUGCAUUAUAGUUUCAUUUUAGAAGUAUUCAUAUUGUCUUGCUAUAAUCUGAGAAUCUUAAUACAUGCUGCAUCUUCAAAAAAUGAAGUUUGCAUGUUCUUCCCAUCUUCGCGUGGGUUUCCUCUGGGUGCUUUAGUUCCCCCCACAGUCCAGAGACAUGCUCUUCAAACAUAUGCCGGAAUAGUUGUCUGUUCAAUCUGCUGUUGCGACUAAUGAUAAGGGACUAAGCUGAAGGAAAAUGAAUGAAUGAAUAUUCGUAUUUGCAGUCAAAAAACCUUUCAUUCAUUUUUUAAGCAUAAACAUACGAAUAUUGAAUAUACUUUUUAAAAAUUUAUAUUGUUGUCUUGUUUAUUCUAAUUUGCACACAAAGCACCAACACACAGCACCUCAUAUUGACAAAAACAUAAUUGUUGACAUUUUUGCAGAUUUAUUAAAAUAGAAAAACUGAAAUAUCAUAUGGUCCUAAGUAUUUAGACCCUUUGCUGUGACACUCAUAUAUUUAACUCAGGUGCUGACCAUUUCUUCUGAAUCAUCUUUGAGAUGGUUCUACAAUUUUAUUUGAGUACAGCUAUGUUUGAUUAAACUGGUUGGAAUUGAUUAGAAAAGCCACACACUUGGCUAUAUUACAGUUAAUAAAAAUCAUCAGGUCAAAGAAACUGACUGAAUAGCUCAGAAACAUAAUUGUGGCUUAAACCUAAUUGAGUAUCUCUGGGGAGACCUAAAAAAGGCUGUCCACUGUAACAAACAUGGCUGAUUAAACACAUAGUUAUUUUGUUAAAUUUAACUCCAUCCAGCAAGAGCAAUUGUUAGUGUAUAAUCUGAUUUUAAAGGUAUUUACGACCCGGAAAGGAAUGUGUUGUUCUGCUGUACAAAGACAUGGUCAUGCUUCUAUAUAACCCAACUCUAUACUUAUGCUUCUUUUUAUGCAAUCCUUUAUUUUCUUUCUAUGUGUAAUCAGGAGUUCGCAACAAGUCCCUUGCUCAUAUAUAAAUCUUGUGUGUAAUAAUAAUAAUAUAAUUAAUAAUUGACAAUACUAUAUUUAAACAAGAUCAUAGAUGGUUCAUGUUUGAUGUCUUUGCAGAGCUACUUUGGUGUACUAAACGGUCGUUUACAUUUUUAUUAAUACGUUUGCGACAUUUUAACAUUUUAAGAAAUGUUAAACAUUCUUCGUCAGCAUUUGCCCAGAAUGCAUAUACAAAUCACUGAACUUAGGAACAAAGAAUCGUAAAAGUAUUCUUAGCAAGGUAAGUUUCUAUUUGUUCGCCUCUUCUUCUAAGGGCGGAAGAACACCAUCCUUAUAAAAGCUAGUGACCAAGGCCGCCAUGUAUAGAGUUCUUCUGAUCUGGCAACCAGAGAUCACAGGAGAAGAUUUGGAGGCAAGUCUUUUCCAACCUAACCCCAAGCUGUGCCAGACUCCAGUUUUGUCUUUCCAUUCAUCAAAGAUUCUCAGAUACAAAUUUAUCUCUCAUAGACCAAAUUCAGCAAAAAUCAACUGGAGCCUUACAAACUGCAUUGGCACCCUUUUCAAAUAGCAAGGUCAGGUAGGGGGCUACAAGAGAUCUCUGGGGCCUCUGAAUUCUUAAUCCGAGCCUGUCUGUGAGAGACACAGAUGUAUUAGAGCAACACUAUGUUAGGGCGGUAUAGUAGCACCCUCCGCUCUGAUCAAGGCAGCACCACUGGCAUUUCAGCAGCCCAAUUGCCCGCUCUACAACUUGUCAUGAUUGGGGUUUAGGGAAAAGGACCGAGGACCCAAGUGCAGAGUGAAUAGUUAUUUAUUUAUAAUAAAAUAAAAUAAAAGGCAAAAUAGACAACCCCGAGGGGGGAAACAUUAAUAAAACAAAUAAACAAUCAAAACAGACUAGGAUGGGAAGGCUGGCAGGGAUCAGGACUGAAACACUUUGGACUGGAACAAGGCAACAUACAACGUCGAACUGGCACAGGACAGCAGACAUGAGGAGAAUAUAAGCAGAAGUAAAUUAACAGAAAAAUAGGUAAACCUAAUAAACUAAUAAUGGGUAACAAGGAGGGUGGGACUAGACAACACCCUCUAGACUAGACUGUGCUCACAUAAAACGGGACAAGAACACGCAGCCAAUGAGAGAACUCAAAAAAAGGACAAGACUGAAUCACAUGGCCACAGAGUAAACACAGAGCCAUUUGCUUGGACAAAACAAACCUAGACACAAGACACGAGCACACGAUAAAUUAAAACACUUUACCGUGCGCUCACACACAAGCAACACGCAAGUUUCAUCCCAGCGGCUACCUGUCGUGAGAGGGUUUCACAAAAACAAGAAAAGAUCCAUGUGCAGCCAAAUAAAUUUAUUAAACUAAACAACGAUGAUCCAAAAAACUCAUUGCAGACAGGAAACGAGCAGAAAUCCAAAACAUUGAGAUGAUACAAAGAGAUCAAACAAACAAACCAAAUCACGAGGAACAAAAGUACAAAUGAAAAAUCCAAAGGCAACUGAAACACAAACGAACAAAGCUUAUAAAGACUGGACUCAAUGAAACAAACAAGGAACAGCUGAACAUGAUAAGUGAUCACGUGUGCAGAGAUACAAGCAAAAACAAAACAAAUGCUAGUGCCCUCAAGUAUCCACAUGAGGGCACUACAACAGGUGUGACACAACCAGACUUAGACGCUGUGAAUGAAACAGCCCGAUGUGGACAGAACAAAACAAACACAAG
Danio rerio (zebrafish) is the source of this 2746-nucleotide non-coding RNA. The record is from RefSeq and is a predicted model, not a curated record. NCBI's taxonomy places the organism in Eukaryota, Metazoa, Chordata, Actinopteri, Cypriniformes, Danionidae.